UACGGAGGAUCCGAGCGUUAUCCGGAUUUAUUGGGUUUAAAGGGUGCUCAGGCGGGCCAUUAAGUCGGCGGUGAAAUUUUGCGGCUCAACCGUAAAAGUGCCUUCGAUACUGGUGGUCUUGAGUGUGGAUGAGGUAGGCGGAAUUUGUGGUGUAGCGGUGAAAUGCAUAGAUAUCACGAGGAACUCCGAUUGCUAAGGCAGCUUACUAAGCCAUAACUGACGCUCAACCACGAAGGCGUGGGGAUCAAACAGGAUUAGAUACCCGUGUAGU
This 271-nucleotide ribosomal RNA is filed under the name uncultured prokaryote. Its description in RNAcentral is "partial 16S ribosomal RNA". It matches the Rfam family "Bacterial small subunit ribosomal RNA", at positions 524 to 794 of the family's 1533-position model. The record is from RNAcentral.